This 2718-nucleotide long non-coding RNA is filed under the name Aedes aegypti (yellow fever mosquito). Its description in RNAcentral is "lncRNA AAEL020719". The record is from RNAcentral. Lineage: Eukaryota; Metazoa; Arthropoda; Insecta; Diptera; Culicidae.
GUUUCCCUCCGCCGGAUCAUUACAUCCCGCCGAUUUCUGGGUAGUUCUUGGUCGGUCGGUAUUGCUGGGCAGAGGGAAGCCCUGCAGAAAACGACAAUACCUGAGACGAUCUCUGCAACUAUGCAGCCAGCCAGCAGUAACUGGCAAUGCCCAAGGGCUACGAAUAGGCAUAGGACUGUGGAGGAGAGCAAAACAGCGGCUAUCAACGAUAAAUCGUAUUUUAAAGUGGGAAAAAGUGACUUCAUCAGUAGUGAGUGGUGUGAUUGCUUUUUGUUUGCGCAAAUCGCAGCACAAUUGCGACCGGCGCUGAUGUGACACGGCAAAGGUGCCGGGCAAGUCUACAGUUUAUGUAUGCUCCGGUCGGUCCUACCUAGACAUUCUCAGAUGUUGGUGAGGAAGCUGCCAGUUUCGUUGUGGACGUGCUUUGGAGAACGAUGAUUCAACACUAUGGGGGAAUGGAAUUCUGUGCUUUCCAUUAUUUAGCAAAAUCGUCUGUAUUAUGCAGACUGAUGACACAUAUAUGAUGAACCAUGACAUGAGAGAUAAACUACCCAGGUAUAUUGUAGGGGCCCUUGGGACGCAUUAUCGCUUCUUUGAAUUAACAAGAUAAACCGAAAACUCCGGCAAUCCAUGACAAGGACACAUUCAACUUAUAAUCACGGAAAGUGGGCCACAGCUGAAAGCACCAUUCAUCUCCAGCUGCAGCACUGGAUCAAAACCAGCAACAUGCAAAAGAAUAUUCCCAAGUGCCCUAGUGAACCACAAAUUGCACUCCGCGAUCAAUAUCCUUUCCCAUAAAACAUACAAAGCAAACCGAUAAAAAAGAGGCAUCUUUGAGCAGUUGAGCCCACACGCACCCUCGAUUCCGGAGUCCGAGACCCCAACGACAACGCCGGUGAGACCGUAUGAACGGUCAGUUAGCACGAAUCACAAAUCCCUUAGGGCAACCGCCGAGCCACCACCACCGAUUACAGUAGUGUUUCGAUUUCACGCCCCGAAAAAAAAAAUGUCUUGAAUUUAACGAAUCUGUUAAUUUAGUGAAACGAAAACUAAAUGUAUUAAUUUUGAUUCCACCACGUCACCAUUUUGGGCUACAGGUCUUCAAAGUUGUAUAAAAUACUGGUUUUAUUAAUGUUAAAAAAAUUAACAAGGAUUAUUAACAACUCAAUCCACCAAGCAUGCUAAAAUUGACUUUUGUAUAAGAUACAGUUUAAUAAGUUUACAUAUGGAUUCAGUGACCUCAAACUAAGUAAAAAGCAAUAUUUUGUCUUGUUUGUUUGUUUGUUUUGACUUGUUCAGCUGUGUAUUUUCAAAAUUUCUCAAUUCCUAUCACAAUAAUUAGUGUGACAUGCGUUAGAUAUCUCAAUUAAUUUCUAUAAUCAGAGAGUAUUCGUGAAAUGUUAAGAUUCCCUUACAUGAAGAAUGAGAAGACAAUGAGUUUAACGAGUAUAGGCCUGAUUGAAAGCAAAAAAGCUAUAACCCUCCCCGCUCAGCGAGUACUUAACGGAUUAAAUUUUUUUUUUUUUUUGUCAAUAUACUCGUAAACAUUGGGUAUAAAAACGUUUGGCAUAAGGAUGUUAGGCAUAAUGGACGUUAGGCAUAACAUAAUUUGUGUAUGCAUUUCACAUCUUUUUGAUCGGAAAAUAUUUAGGUUCCAUUGACAAAUUGUAUAACGCUUCAGGUGGUUAGUGGGUCUCCUUGAUAUGUUACAGAUUAUAAAAAGUCUGCAUACACAAACCGUUCCAGAAGGGUGUGUUGGGGUGUCAAAAAUUGCUAUUUUCCGCAUUUGUAAAUUUAAGAAUAAAGAAAUUUCAGAGAAUUUGAUCAGUGUUGUCAUUUUAAAAUGCAGCUCAACCAAUCUUUCUAAAUUUUCAGUACUCUUUUAGAUGUUCAAUUGAAGUAUAAUUUGAAUUUAUGAGUAAAUUACAUUUGCAUGUGUUACAUUUCUCUGGAAAUAUCGUGAGUAACUUUAAUCAAAUAAUCAACUUAAUAGGUAAUAACAUCUUCAACUGUGGUUUUCUGGUAGACAACAUAAUAGUUCACAAAAAGGCGUUUCCAUGGCACAGAUGUUAAGAUACACACUGGCCACUUUAUAGCAAGGCAUCCUGGGGAUCCGAAAGGAUCAAUCCAAUGUUGGAAACAUGGUUAUACAGUUCAAUCGAUUCUCAAAAUGUUCACAUCGAUGCAUUUUUCUUAAAAUUCCUUGAUUAGUGGCUACAUCAUAGUUUCCCAAACUGUGGGUCGCGACCCCCAGGGGGGUCGUGAGCUAGUCUUUGGUGGGUCGCGAAAAAAUUACAAAGUACGAAUUUAUUUCCAAAGUUUUUUUCUAUGUUUCCUUAAACUUAAAUUCUUACUUUAUGACAAAACAAGUUUUUUUCAAAUGAUCAGGAAUUCAGUCAGUUGGCACUAUCUAUAUUAUUCUAAGGUUAAGGUCUAAGGCUGAGAAGAACGUCGCCAAUACAGCCUUCUUUAAUCGUUCUUUCUUAAUAAGCCAUACUCGAACUUCCAUGAGUCGAAGAGAAUAUUUUCCCAUGGAAAUAUCGACUGUGAUGAACAUUAUAGUACUCAGGUUUUUUUUUUAAUUUUCAAUAUGGUUCACGGUUUCAAAAUCUCUAUUAUCAUCAAACCUGCAUGCUUCUCCGAUAUUUCUACGAAAACGUUCAGCAUUCGGUCUAAGAUUUUGUGGUUAGAAGGAUAAAAAAUAUUCUGUCGAAAAAA